RNAcentral lists this ribosomal RNA (453 nucleotides) under uncultured organism. RNAcentral describes it as "partial 16S ribosomal RNA". It matches the Rfam family "Bacterial small subunit ribosomal RNA", at positions 329 to 798 of the family's 1533-position model. The record is from RNAcentral.
ACGUACACUCCUGCGGGAGGCAGCAGUGGGGAAUAUUGGACAAUGGGCGCAAGCCUGAUCCAGCCAUGCCGCGUGAGUGAUGAAGGCCCUAGGGUUGUAAAGCUCUUUCACCGGUGAAGAUAAUGACGGUAACCGGAGAAGAAGCCCCGGCUAACUUCGUGCCAGCAGCCGCGGUAAUACGAAGGGGGCUAGCGUUGUUCGGAUUUACUGGGCGUAAAGCGCACGUAGGCGGACUAUUAAGUCAGGGGUGAAAUCCCGGGGCUCAACCCCGGAACUGCCUUUGAUACUGGUAGUCUUGAGUUCGAGAGAGGUGAGUGGAAUUCCGAGUGCAGAGGUGAAAUUCGUAGAUAUUCGGAGGAACACCAGUGGCGAAGGCGGCUCACUGGCUCGAUACUAACGCUGAGGUGCGAAAGCGUGGGGAGCAAACAGGAUUAGAAACCCGAGUAGUCCCAU